This 482-nucleotide ribosomal RNA is filed under the name uncultured bacterium. RNAcentral's name for it is "bacterial SSU rRNA". It matches the Rfam family "Bacterial small subunit ribosomal RNA", at positions 501 to 986 of the family's 1533-position model. The record is from RNAcentral.
CUACGUGCCAGCAGCCGCGGUAAUACGGAAGGUCCAGGCGUUAUCCGGAUUUAUUGGGUUUAAAGGGAGCGUAGGCCGUUUGAUAAGCGUGCUGUGAAAUUUAGAGGCUCAACCUCUACCGUGCAGCGCGAACUGUCAGACUUGAGUGCGUAGUAGGUAGGCGGAAUUCGUGGUGUAGCGGUGAAAUGCUUAGAUAUCACGAAGAACUCCGAUUGCGAAGGCAGCUUACCGUAUCGCAACUGACGCUGAUGCUCGAAGGUGCGGGUAUCGAACAGGAUUAGAUACCCUGGUAGUCCGCACAGUAAACGAUGGAUGCUCGCUGUUGGCCAUUUUGGUCAGUGGCUUAGCGAAAGCGUUAAGCAUCCCACCUGGGGAGUACGCCGGCAACGGUGAAACUCAAAGGAAUUGACGGGGGCCCGCACAAGCGGAGGAACAUGUGGUUUAAUUCGAUGAUACGCGAGGAACCUUACCCGGGCUUGAAC